AGCGGCGGACGGGUGAGUAACGCGUGGGUAACCUGCCCUGUACACACGGAUAACAUACCGAAAGGUAUGCUAAUACGAGAUAAUAUGCUUUUAUCGCAUGGUAGAAGUAUCAAAGCUCCGGCGGUACAGGAUGGACCCGCGUCUGAUUAGCUAGUUGGUAAGGUAACGGCUUACCAAGGCGACGAUCAGUAGCCGACCUGAGAGGGUGAUCGGCCACAUUGGAACUGAGACACGGUCCAAACUCCUACGGGAGGCAGCAGUGGGGAAUAUUGCACAAUGGGCGAAAGCCUGAUGCAGCAACGCCGCGUGAGCGAUGAAGGCCUUCGGGUCGUAAAGCUCUGUCCUCAAGGAAGAUAAUGACGGUACUUGAGGAGGAAGCCCCGGCUAACUACGUGCCAGCAGCCGCGGUAAUACGUAGGGGGCUAGCGUUAUCCGGAAUUACUGGGCGUAAAGGGUGCGUAGGUGGUUUCUUAAGUCAGAGGUGAAAGGCUACGGCUCAACCGUAGUAAGCCUUUGAAACUGGGAAACUUGAGUGCAGGAGAGGAGAGUGGAAUUCCUAGUGUAGCGGUGAAAUGCGUAGAUAUUAGGAGGAACACCAGUUGCGAAGGCGGCUCUCUGGACUGUAACUGACACUGAGGCACGAAAGCGUGGGGAGCAAACAGGAUUAGAUACCCUGGUAGUCCACGCCGUAACCGAUGAGUACUAGCUGU
Molecule: ribosomal RNA, 710 nt
Filed under: uncultured bacterium
Lineage: Bacteria
Description: bacterial SSU rRNA
Rfam family: Bacterial small subunit ribosomal RNA
Source: RNAcentral